GGAAAACAUGCACGAGUCUGACGGAGCAACGCCGCGUGAGUGAUGAAGGCUUUCGGGUCGUAAAACUCUGUUGUUAGGGAAGAACAAGUGCUAGUUGAAUAAGCUGGCACCUUGACGGUACCUAACCAGAAAGCCACGGCUAACUACGUGCCAGCAGCCGCGGUAAUACGUAGGUGGCAAGCGUUAUCCGGAAUUAUUGGGCGUAAAGCGCGCGCAGGUGGUUUCUUAAGUCUGAUGUGAAAGCCCACGGCUCAACCGUGGAGGGUCAUUGGAAACUGGGAGACUUGAGUGCAGAAGAGGAAAGUGGAAUUCCAUGUGUAGCGGUGAAAUGCGUAGAGAUAUGGAGGAACACCAGUGGCGAAGGCGACUUUCUGGUCUGUAACUGACACUGAGGCGCGAAAGCGUGGGGAGCAAACAGGAUUAGAUACCCUGGUAGUCCACGCCGUAAACGAUGAGUGCUAAGUGUUAGAGGGUUUCCGCCCUUUAGUGCUGAAGUUAACGCAUUAAGCACUCCGCCUGGGGAGUACUGCCGCAAGGCUGAAACUCGGAGGAAUUGACGGGG
This 562-nucleotide ribosomal RNA is filed under the name Bacillus mycoides. RNAcentral's name for it is "bacterial SSU rRNA". It matches the Rfam family "Bacterial small subunit ribosomal RNA", at positions 367 to 918 of the family's 1533-position model. RNAcentral also lists the same sequence under 1 other name. Lineage: Bacteria; Bacillati; Bacillota; Bacilli; Caryophanales; Bacillaceae. The record is from RNAcentral.